RNAcentral lists this unclassified non-coding RNA (345 nucleotides) under soil metagenome. RNAcentral describes it as "partial contains 5.8S ribosomal RNA, internal transcribed spacer 2, and large subunit ribosomal RNA". The stretch from base 1 to 120 matches the Rfam family "5.8S ribosomal RNA", at positions 35 to 154 of the family's 154-position model. The record is from RNAcentral.
GAUGAAGAACGCAGCGAAAUGCGAUACGUAAUGUGAAUUGCAGAAUUCAGUGAAUCAUCGAGUCUUUGAACGCACAUUGCGCCCCCUGGUAUUCCGGGGGGCAUGCCUGUCCGAGCGUCAUUGCUGCCCUCAAGCACGGCUUGUGUGUUGGGCCUCCGUCCUCCUCCCGGGGGACGGGCCCGAAAGGCAGCGGCGGCACCGCGUCCGGUCCUCGAGCGUAUGGGGCUUCGUCACCCGCUCUUGUAGGCCCGGCCGGCGCUUGCCGACACAUCAAUCUUUUUUCCAGGUUGACCUCGGAUCAGGUAGGGAUACCCGAUGAACUUAAGCAUAUCAAUAAGCGGAGGA